AGAGUUUGACUCCUGGCUCAGGACGAACGCUGGCGGCGUGCUUAACGACAUGCAAGUCGAACGGGGAUAUCGGGUGAAGUUCUUCGGGAAUGGAAGCUGAUAUUCGAGUGGCGGACGGGUGAGUAACGCGUGAACAAUCUGUCCCAGACAGGGGGAUAACACUUGGAAACAGGUGCUAAUACCGCAUAAGACCACGGAAUCGCAUGGUUCAGGGGUAAAAGGAGGAAUCCGGUUUGGGGUGAGUUCGCGUCCGAUUAGAUAGUUGGUGAGGUAACGGCCCACCAAGUCUGCGAUCCGGUAGCCGAUCUGAGAGGAUGACCGGCCACAUUGGAACUGAGAGACGGUCCAAACUCCUACGGGAGGCAGCAGUGGGGAAUAUUGGGCAAUGGGCGAAAGCCUGACCCAGCAACGCCGCGUGAGUGAAGGAGGCCUUCGGGUUGUAAAGCUCUGUUAUAGGUGACGAAGGAAGUGACGGUAGCCUAUAAGGAAGCCCCGGCUAACUACGUGCC
Molecule: ribosomal RNA, 509 nt
Filed under: uncultured organism
Description: SSU rRNA
Rfam family: Bacterial small subunit ribosomal RNA
Source: RNAcentral